AUCUAUAUAAUAUAUUUAGUAUAUUUGACUUCCAAUCAAAAAGUUUAUUACAAUAAUAUAAAUA
Molecule: transfer RNA, 64 nt
Filed under: Silvatares holzenthali
Lineage: Eukaryota; Metazoa; Arthropoda; Insecta; Trichoptera; Pisuliidae
Description: tRNA-Gly
Source: RNAcentral